RNAcentral lists this long non-coding RNA (13585 nucleotides) under Hordeum vulgare. RNAcentral's name for it is "long non-coding RNA (HVUL_LNC013347)". Lineage: Eukaryota; Viridiplantae; Streptophyta; Magnoliopsida; Poales; Poaceae. The record is from RNAcentral.
CGGGCGGCGGUGGGCCGGCGGGCGGCGGCCGGAGGAAGGGGGAGGGGAGACCGGAGGCGGCUGCGCGGCCUUGCUCCUCAGGGAGGAGGAGCCCCCUACUCCAGCGCCACCGCCAGCCCGCACCCCGCAGCGNNNNNNNNNNNNNNNNNNNNNNNNNNNNNNNNNNNNNNNNNNNNNNNNNNNNNNNNNNNNNNNNNNNNNNNNNNNNNNNNNNNNNNNNNNNNNNNNNNNNNNNNNNNNNNNNNNNNNNNNNNNNNNNNNNNCACGACGAGUAGCCUCGUGGAUGGACGUGUAUAACUUCCACGCCCGUAUACACGUUCCACUGGGAGGCAUUUUUCUGUUAGCAACGUGUAUAUUUACCAUCCACCUCCAUAUACACCAUCCACUAGAGAUGCUCUUAUAAACUGAAACGGAGGAAGUACUUUUUUAUAGCUAACUAUUGUACAAGCUAGCUAUAAGAUUGACUAUAAGAUGGCUUAUAGCCAGCAGUUGACUAUACUGUUAACCAUGCUCUUACAAGUUCCAUCCGUAGAUGCUCUAGGCAUGGCACGACGACGUAUGUCGUUGGGACAGUCUUAGAGCAUCUCUAGUGGAACGUGUAUACACCUUGCUAAAUUUUACACCUCCCAGUUUUUCAGUGGAACGUGUAUACAGGACGUGGAAAUCAGGACGUGUAUAUUCCAACGGCUAUAUUUUCAAACGGCUAUAUUUUCAACGGCUAUAUUUUCAACGGCCAUAUUUCUGGUCUAUAUAAACCGCCCCAAUCACCUCUCUUCCAGCAUUUCUAGUUGUGCCUCAUCUUCUCACUUCUAGAUUUCUCUAUCGUCUCUCACACAACACAAUGAACACAUUCUCUUGGGACAUGAGUUCUUCAUCAUCUUCAUCGGGCGACGAUGAACUCAUACUUGCGGCAUUAGCCGAUCGCGAGGAGGAAGAGAGGAUGAACACUCGACGCCAUGGCGGUUCCAUGCAUGGACGUCAGUCAAUCGAUCGAGGAAGAGAUGCCGGAUUUCUUCUUCUCUGGAACGACUAUUUCAAAGAAGUUCCUCGCUUUUCCGAACAUUUGUUUCGACGAAGGUUCGUAAUUAGUACACUUCUCUGCUUUGGUUCUUUUUUCAUUUCCCCGUCUCAUUGACUUUUUAUGCAUAGAUUUAGGAUGUCGCGUACUUUGUUCAACCGCAUAGCUGAUGGUAUACUUGAACAUGACUAUGAUGGUUAUUUUACGCAAAAAAGAAGUGCUUCUGGAGCUCUUGGGUUACAUCCUCUACAAAAGAUGACCGCGGCAAUGCGGAUCCUCACAUAUGGAAUAGCAACUGAUGGUGUUAAUGAGUACAUCGGGUCCGCUGAGGCUACUAAUUUAGAGUCUUGCAAGAAAUUUGUGAUCAAAGUUUGUGAAGUUUCUGAGGAAAAGUACAUGAGAUCUCCAAAUGAAGAAGACAUUGCUAGGUUACUUGCAAUAGGUGAGGAAAGAGGAUUACCUACAAUACUGCCAGUGAUAUGCACAAACAAUACAGAAGUGAGAACACGAAUUGUUCUCCUUGCCUACAAUAUUGCCAGUGAUUGAUUCCCCCCAUAAUUCACUUCUAUUGCAUUCUUGAAGCAGCAGCAGCGGGUUCNNNNNNNNNNNNNNNNNNNNNNNNNNNNNNNNNNNNNNNNNNNNNNNNNNNNNNNNNNNNNNNNNNNNNNNNNNNNNNNNNNNNNNNNNNNNNNNNNNNNNNNNNNNNNNNNNNNNNNNNNNNNNNNNNNNNNNNNNNNNNNNNNNNNNNNGUGCGCCCCAGACCUCUCUGGAAUGGAAAAUAGAAGGGAGGGAGAGAGCUUACCAGAGGGGAGUGGUCGCCGGCGAGCUUCGAUGGCCUUUGGACGGAGGCGGGAGCAGCUUGUUUCCCUUUCCACUAGCGUGGCCGAGCCGUGUGUAUUUGCACGAGAAGUAGCGUUGUGGAUGGACAUGUAAAACUUCCACGUCCGUAUACACGAUCCACUGGGAAGUGUUUUUCAGUUUUCAUAGUAUAUAUUUAGUUUUCAUAGUAUAUAUUUACCAUCCAUCCGUAGAUGCUCUAACAAGUUCCAUCCGUAGAUGCUCUAGGCAUGGCACAACGACGUAUGUCGUUGGGACAGCCGAACGACAGGCGUGUGGCGCAGUCAGGGGGUGGGGUGCCUAGAGAGGCCUACACGCCGCGUGAACCCCAGCUUUUCCGUUGUUGGGCGAACCCCUCCGCCCCUCACCACCGAAGGAGCCCUCCGGAAAAGGCCAACUCCGGGAGCUUUCCUUUGCCCCCCACGCCACGCGGAAAGCGAAAGAGGUUAGCUAGCUUUCCAGCUCCAAAGUUGCAAGUGCGACGCCGCCCGCCCAUGGGUGGACGGACGGGUGGCGGCCUUCAGGUUCAGGUUUAGGCGGGCGGCCACCGGCCUGGCCGGUGAGAAGGACCUGGGACGGCAUUUUUCUUUCAGCGCACAGGGGAAGAAGAAUCCCCGCGAUGCCCAUGAUGGCUCGAUUUGUCAAACGCUAGCUAUAACCUAGAAAGAAAAGAAGAAAAGGAAGAAAAGGCUAAAACAGCAUGGCGAAAAUCUGAAGAGCUAAAGUCACAGGCCACAGGUCACGGAGUAGCAACACGACGCGCACCGCAAAUCUAUCUUAAAUUCCUUAGCUUGCAGGACAGCCGAUCGCCAGCCACCGGCCAAGGCGGCCAGCGGCGCUGCCGGCACGACCACCCUGGCUCGCCGUGGAUGACGCACCGUACUACCGCCGUAGUGCUAGUGUCCGCCCGUGGCCACGCAGCCGCGACCGCGCACGAGACGAGCGCAGCGAAAUGGCAUGGACGGACCCACCAACCCUAGGACCCCGAUCCGAUGGUCGUUCUCCUUCCAUCCAUCCUUGCCCCACCGACCCCGUGGCCUACUCCACGGCUGUUCCCGAGCUGGCCUCCACCCCACCCUCGGGGUCACUGCACUGUCGCUCGGCUCCGCUUACAACAAAUCCAGUAGAAAGCAACAAAGAAUUCCUCGCCUCGAGAUGCCACAUACCACCAGUGGUCGCGUGGAGCGCCACUACAGUACCAGCGGUUUUUUAAAGGUGACCAGACCAGAUCUGCCCCUGCCCAGCCUCAGAUCCAUUCCGCUUCCGCCCGCGUGAUGCACGUACGAACGAGCACGAGCAUUCUAGUGCUAGUUGCUACUAGCACUAUACCAAUACGUACUAUAUAUGUAUACUACACCCUCCAAGAUCCGAUCUGCUGGAGCAACUUAGAGCUAGAAAUCAAGCUACGAGCUACUGUAGUUAUGGACGAAGCUGCAAGAACAGAGUGUAAUAAGCAGCGACGGAGAAAGAAUAAUAAUGAUGAUACAUAUGGUGAGAGGAAUUAACUGGGGGAUUGUACAAUGGAUAUGGAUCGAGCACCACCAGCAACGACGGCCAAACAAUCAGAUCUGUCCACGCCCAACACACGCAUAACACGGAGGAGUGUCCUACUACGAAUCCGAAUGCCGAAUGUAAUAAUCAUCAACGCAACAACAACAAAAGAAGAAGAAAAAAAAGGAAGAUAAACAGCUCCAAGAACACCACCACAAAAGGAGAGGGAGCGGGGCCCUCGGAUAAAUUAAAUACUCUUGCAGGCAGCCGAUCUGCCGCGGGGGCGGGAUCUCUCAGUAGAAGGCGGCGGCGGCGGCCACGGCGGCGGUGGCGACCCACGCGGCGGCGGGGUGGACGCCGGCGGCGGCGCUGGCGGGGGUGGUGGGCGCGUCCAUGGACGGGGCGGGGGACGGGCCCAUCAUCGACGGCUCCGGCGGCGAGCUCAUGUNNNNNNNNNNNNNNNNNNNNNNNNNNNNNNNNNNNNNNNNNNNNNNNNNNNNNNNNNNNNNNNNNNNNNNNNNNNNNNNNNNNNNNNNNNNNNNNNNNNNNNNNNNNNNNNNNNNNNNNNNNNNNNNNNNNNNNNNNNNNNNNNNNNNNNNNNNNNNNNNNNNNNGGGGGAGGCAUGACCGGGGCCACGGCCGGCGGGGGAGACACCGGCGCCGGGGUCGGCGGCGGCAUCAUCGGAGGCGGGGACACCGGGGCCACGGGGGCCGGCAUCGGGGUGGCCGCCGGGGCCUGGGCCGCGGUGGCGGCGAAGAGCAUGGUCAGGGCCAGAGCCACCAGCUGGAUGCGCGCCAUUGGAGGAGUGAAGAGGAGAGCUUGAGCUUGAGCUUGAGCUUGAGCUUUGCUUUUGCUUGAGGUGGUGCUGCUGCUGGUGUACUGUAAUGGUGUCCGAGACGGUAUUGGGCCGGGAGAUUAUAAAGGGGUCGCGGACGGGGCUACGACGACGAAUUAUAUGAAGACCCAGGGGGCUCCGUGCUAAUUUCCGAUCCUGGUAGCCGUCCGAUCGACAUCCGACGGCUCGUAUGGUUGGAAAGCUUCAACUCUUUUUUCUUCCCCAAACUUCUGACUUCUGAACAGCAAGCAAGUUUCAGAAAAACAAGCUAAAUCCCAACAGCUGGCGGAGAUCAUGUCAUUUGGUUCACGGGAAAUUCUCUCGCGAUAUAAGAGUCUGGUGAUUAUUUGCUUUCCUUUUUUUUGUCAUGGUUCACGCGUAAUUCUGGUCGACGGUGAGCUGGGUUUCCUUCCUGUUCCGUCUUGCCUAAUUUUGUCUUGGGGGUUUGAAAAUCGUGUGCAUAAUCCCACCCCUAUCUUCGGUUCAUGGACCCGAUCAAUUAGUCCAUUGCAGAUAUUUGCGGUAAAAUAUUAUGGACGAUCAAUGCAAAAUGGCAAGCAGCUAAUGAGCCAAUUGGCCCACGCGUUUGCAGUGUUCUUUACAACGAUAACAAAAUGUCAGACUUUAAAACAAUGUUAACUUCGAAAGUCAAAGUUUUUUUACAUGGGUGGCACACAUGCAUGUAAACGGACACGCACGCGUAAAUGUGAAAUAGCAAGUGGUAUUUGCUAAUGAGCCGACUGACCCACGCGUUUGCGGAGCUAGUGCAUCGAGUUUUUUCUACAAGAUAAUAAAAGGUCGGAUUUCAAAAACAAAGUUACUUCCAAAGUCAAAGUGCUUUUUCUCGCAAUUACGUUGGUGACGCACACGCAGACACGCACGCGCAAAUGUGAAAUAUCAAGUGCUUGUUAAUGAGCCGAUUGGCUCACGCGAUUGCGAUGUUUGUGCACUGAGUUUUCUUUACAAGGAUAAUGGAGGUCCAUUUCCAACAACAAGGUUGCUUCCAAGGUCAAGGUGCUUCUUUAUGCAGUUACAACACACAUGUAGACACGCACAUACACACACUCAGAACCUUGCAUAUUUUCGACAUUUUUCUCUUCUUUUUUGAGGGCAGGUUCAGCCCAUCAACAUGUGAAAGUAAGCACCCGUGACUGUGCAAUGUUUAGUUGAGGUAAAAGUGGAGAAAAUAACCAUCAAGUGAAUGGGGCGACUCAUUCCAAGAUGAUUUACCAAUUUUCGUGUGCGGUUUUUCCUGUAUGAUUGGAUGAAACUUGUGCGUGUCAAAUCAUCGAAUAUCGUCAUCUUUCUCACCGAAAGAUCAAUAACCAACAUUGUCUCAUCAAUUCGUGAUGUAUGGUGUUCCCUCGUAUGCAUCAUAUUUUUUGCUCUAUAAACAAAACUUACAAAACUAACAAGAGGUCCACAUUGUGUAUGUGUGCACACGCGCGGCGUGGGACAAUUAUAACAAAAAUGUCUUUCUAUAAAAUAGACAUAAAAUAGAGCUCCUUGUUUUGAUCAUUUGAUGAUAGCAUCAACCAGCUAAGAUUAGUUGCCUACAAAAUAAAUACCUUAGCAAUGAAAUGAUUGGUUUGGUGCUAAUCAAUGGAGCGCACGUUGUCCUCACCAAUUCUAUAUUGAGCCGUUGGUGAAUGAUGGGUUGCUGUCAGCGUUUCUCCAUCAAAAUCUUGGGUUUACAAAAGAACGAUACGAGAAAGUAAUCACACUAACACAGACGGUUAGGAAAACAAGAGAAAAUUCUACUGUCAAGUUAUCUCUUCCGUGUAUUCUUCAUGCACAUUUUUAUUUUAUUUUUGCACAUUGUUUGGCUUGCAAGUUUUAGUCUCCUGCCUAUUAUGUUAGCUGGAAGGAGAUAAAGUUCUUGGUCCCCGACGAAAAAUAGGUUCACUUGGGAGGACAAUGGUGUACAGCCUAACCAAACCCUUUUCAAAACCUAAAGCUCCACACGUUCAGGUUGCUCGAUUUGGUCCAUAAGGGUAUACCUAACGCGCCAAAUGUUUCCAAAACCUAAUGUGCCCCGUUUUUUUCCUUCACAAUAUCCAUCUUGUUCCACAAGAUAAAUCCAGAGAUUUCCAACCUAACCAUACCCUUCCAAAACCCAGCGCUCCACUCCUCCAACGUUCAUAUUCUUUGGACAAGAGAUACACACGAAUACACUUGUCUGGUUCCUAACCACCAUGUGGAAGAGUGUGAUUAUGCUAGUUGAUAGGCAGCUCUGAAUCAGACCGACAAUAGGAAGCCCCUAUCUGGAAGCAAGAGUUCAAAUGCAAGUAUGGACUAAUCGCAACGGCGAACGGUCCCUGCAAACUUUGGAGACCAAGUUAAUUCACGAUUUUCAGAGUAACUUUGUCGAAACUCAUGUUUCGUUCCUUAUUAAACUGGGGUCAAUAUCUAAUUAUAAGAGCAUGUUCGCUAGUUGAAUCAUUGUGCCUCCAUUUUAAGGCUUAAUUUGUGAUUGCUGAACUGUGUUGUGUUAUGAUGAUUUCAUAAUUACUAGUCCCUCCGUUUUUAAAUAUAAGUCUUUUUAGAAUUUUUAUUAGAGACUACAUACGGAUGUAUAUAGACAUACUUUAGAGUAUAGAUUAACUCAGUUUGCUUUGUAUGUAGUCACUUAGUGAAACCUCUAAAAUACUUAUAUUUAGAAAGGGGGGAGUAUGUAAAAUUAGCCACAAAAGUAGACAAAAGCGGUUUAAACGCACGCUCAGAUAGGCAAAAACAUAUUAGGCAACACAAGGUUAUCACAAACCACCACAAUACCAAACUCGGCCUAAGUAAAGCUGACUUUUUCCUAGACAAGAAAAAUGCAACGUGUGUAUGACAAUGAUGUUAGAACAAGCCAACAAAGGCAAGAACAUGAGUUUUCAUCUGGAGAUCGCCUCCAGAAAUUGAAGAUAAUACCACAAGGAGAUGACGUGAGAGCAAUGUCGACAUGUCGUUCCCACGUCUAACCAAUGAAGACUAUACCAACCAAUGGAGGCCAACUCAUUCAAUUACUAUACCACGUCUUGGCGCUCAAAAUCGAACAUCACUUGAUCCAACCAAUGGAGGCUAACUCAUUCACGACGAUUGCGACAAUGUCCGUUCAAGAUUUGGCAUGGCCCAAUGACAAGAAACCUCAUGCUAGCGUACUGGUAUCGCUCCACCAUGGAGCUUACUAGAACCGCCAAAACGCUUUGAAGGGGUCGCCCCUCCGCCCUCAUGUCGACGAUGCCCCUGCAGCCACCCCGGCUUCCAUGUCAUAAUCCACAACAUGUCAUCCUCUAACGGGCAGCCAUCACGACCGGAUAUCGACAAGAGCCCCUAACACCACUAUCGGUCGCAAGACCUUUGGUCAUGGCAUCCUCUGGCGGUGGAGGAGGGGGUUGAAGGAAGGCAUGGUAGAGAUGCUAACUUCCUUAACUACACUUUGUAUACAAUAAAGUAGAGAAAUCUCCCAAUCAAUCUUUGCGUCUAAAAAUGCACACAGCCAACGAACAUUAUUGACCUUCCGAAGGACGAUAUAAAGCCGUAUUCCCAUCGUUCUGGGCCGCCGUGAGUUGCCAACAAACAUCCUGAUCCUGCCCGAAAUGCUAUCCACCGAAUGACAUCUGAGCCGAUCCGAUUUAACAAACAGCAAGCUUGCCAAAAACAAGUCCGUUGGUCCGAUCAGAGCCUCGUCGGGUCCAUGGAAACGGGGCUGUGGCCAGGGUGGAAGAUUCCGGCCGGUCGGCCAGCCGCGGUGUAGUACAGAGCUACGUGACGCCGACGUACCAACUAAGCCAAGACAACCACCAUCUUCCGAGUGAAAUCAAAUGAGAUCGACUACGUGACGGCCGCGAACUCUGCUGGGCAGUGUGAUACAGUUCGUCGAGGUGUCGCCUCCCAUGGCCCUGUUGCACGCCCACGAAGCAUGUAGCAGUGCUGUACAGUUGUAUAAUAACCGGAGAUGCCGCGUGGGCCAAGGGGGUUAUGGUAGAGGAUGUCAUAGAGGAGCUGUGGACAGCCAGGGCUAGGCAUUUUGCUUGGCGACUCAUCAGAGUGUUUACGAAGGCAUUGACUCGUGGCAAAUGGAUGGCAAAUCUCAUGCUGCGUCAGGUAAAAAGUGGGCAUAGUUUUCUUGCCGAUUCCUGUAUGGUUUUCCAUGUUCGUUAUGGAGAAUUAUGUUCAGCGGUCGGUUGGAAGAAGGCCUUCACAUAUUCGGAAGAAAGUGGGUGUGAAAACCAGCUUGACAUAAUCAUAGACUGAAUGGGUCGUCGACAAAAUGAUUGGGAAUUUUUUUCCCAAACAAUUUCAAAAUUCCACUGUCCAUAGGUUAAUCAAAUCAGGAGGUGGUUGGUACUACUAGUACUAGCGAAGCAGCCGCUAUCACAUAAAACAAUGGCACGAGCCGAAUCAGAAAGACAGCCGCUGCUUGCAAAGCAUUGCCCCCACAACCAUAAGAUCAGGGGCCCCUAAAUAACCGGACAGCUAAGUUCGUCGAUGAUUCGCUCGUCUAAAAGGAGCUCAUCUAGCUCCGUUUCGUUGUAUUUCCUCGUGUCUGGAGCCUAAUGGGAGGUUAGUUAGGCGGUCGCCAAUGAUUGAGGAUUACCUGGCUGUGAUGGGAGGAGCUGGCUGGCCACAUUGGUGGCCUUCAGGUGAGAUGGACAUGGGAACUCCAUCACAUGCCCAUCUCAAGCACCAGCCCGGCGAUCCCUGUUGGGGAAGCUGUAGCAUUUCUCAUGCUGCACAUGUAGAAAUCUUCUGCGUGCCAACCGCUGUCGCCGUCGGCCCAGUGCGCGAUGAGCAUGGCACCGCCACUGCGUGGUCGCGAUCGCUACAGGCGGCUACAGGCAAUAACUCGGGGCAGUAUGUUAGUUCAGGGAAUUGAUGAUAUGGAAAUAACAGAACUUACCAUUAACUUAUACUCUACUAGCAUAGAUCAUGCCAGGCCACAUGACUCCAUGCUUAAAAUGUUACAAUGGGACCUUUCGCGGCAAACAGCAAAUGCACCCCUUGUAUGUUUAUUCUAGAAUGUUAUAAUGUCACAAAACACAGAUUAAGUUGCAAACGAAGGCAUUUCGGUGCCACGUUAUUAGAGGAACAAAGAGUUUGGUAGCCAUUCGCUGGGUAUUCGAAGAAUGAAAGAACAGAUAGCUAUGGGCUAGAUUCCCUCGAGACUUCUUGUCCCCGACUAAAUGGCUAGCAACUUCAGUCUACUUACAUGUGGAACAGUGGAAACAAAGUGUGCUUGGCAUGUGCUAUUAUUACACAAAGCUCUAUAUACGAGUUGCAACUAUAGCUCCCGUCGGUCGAUUUUCACAGAGAUGCGCCCGACUCCCAACUCAAGAGUUUGUCACGCUUUGCAGCAUGUUGUCUAGGGCUCAGAGAGCAAGAUCAGCAUACUGUUUUAACCAACUGACAACUCACAAAAAUGAGCCGAAACUGACAUUAUUCGUAUGCUUCCAUCAGACUGGCCAGUGCCCCUCCAAUCUAUGGCUUUGCUUUGAGCAAGAUGGAAGAGUAUGAAGCAAUUCUAUACCCGGAUCCAGUAAGUGGCACCCCUUCCGGUGUAAUAUCGUUUGGUGAUUCCAGGUUGGUAUCCACCUGCAAAAAGGACACAACAGCAGUUUCAGGCUAAUUAUCCACUAAACUUAUAGCAAGUCAGAACUAAGCCACUUGCUUCCAGAAAAUUGCAAAAAUCUGUCUUUCUUAGAAAACACUGGGGAAAAUAUCAGUAGAUUUUCCAAGCAAUUGAUGUAGUAGCAUGGGAGGAACUAGACAGUACGACCACUGAGUUACAAAAAGUUAGCAAGACAGGAAGUAUACAUACCACACGGUUCCAGCUUUUAUGAUGAGGUGCUGGGGGAAUCACAGCAUCCACAAAAUAGUCAUGGGCAUUGAAUGCCAAAUAGAUAUCUCCACCAGAAUUGUGGUCGUGUAUCCUACAUUAAUCGCCAAACAAAACAGUUGAGAAGACAAGAACUCGUAGCAACCAAACUACAACAAUACUAUCAUAUGGUCAGAAUGAAUUACACAAUAAAAACUGAAAGCCAAACUUCCUUACGUGAAUGCCAAGAAUUUGCUUUCCAAGUUAUCCCAACAAUCCUCAUGCCAGGUGACAUCAUUCUACAAUCAAGAAAGAUCAGAAUGCGAUGAAAACCUUUGGAAGAAAAUUCAAACCAAGAGUUACAUACUUGCAUCCUACAAAAGCUAGGAAUUGUCGUUUCUAACGUGCAAUGCACAAUAAGAGACCAGAUCACAUACUUAGCAAAUACUCAACAGAAACUGAUAACUGUAUUUCAGUAAAGGAAGAACUGUUUAUUUUCAAUACGCCGGUCAACUGCAAGAACACCACUAAGAAUUUGAACAUACUUUACUAAGAAACCUGUCCCGUUUCAGUAUUGGGUGGUUCUGACGAAACUUAAUCAUCUCUGAGAAAAACCUGAAAUGGCCAUAUCUUCUUUCCGCCAACUGUAUCAAACGGACAAGAGGAGAAAACAAGUUAGCAUAUAGAUGUGGCACAUCCAUAACACAUUUUGAAUGGAAAACCAAAAUAAUCAUGUAACCUGUUCCCACUGGAAAUUAUUUAUGCAGGUAUCAUGUCCAUAGCUAUUAUUGUUUCCAUAACGUGUAUGACCAUAUUCAUCUCCCAUCAACAUCAUUGGGGUGCCCUGUUACAAAAACAAAAGGUGCAAUUAGUAAUUUUUACAUUAUGCAAUACCACAUAAAAGUCCAACUGUGAAGUGAUCAAUAAUAUUUACUUGAGAAAUCAUUAAUGCCACAUGGAAGUUCUUCAUUUGUCUCGAACGCAGAGCUAACACAUUCGAAUCAUUUGUUUCUCCUGUUUAGCAACAAGAUCAAAAUAUGAUAACCUUCCAUGGUUGUAUUUUCUUCGAGAAACAGAAAGUGUGCGCUUCGAUGCAUUGAUAGAAAGAAUAGAGUAGUAACCGUAGAAGCCUAAGACUACGCCGAAGCAACCGACCACUCAAGACAAGACCACAACUACAAACAAACACAACCAAACCAACCCUGGCAUAGAUGCCAUCCGCACAAGCGGACAGAACACAACGCCCAUCACAAGAAGAGAGAAUCCAACUCUGCAAAGGGCAGAAUUGGGCUACUCCCACUUUGGAGGCAACAUAGUUGUAUUUGGUCUAUUCUUGAUACAGAAACUUCACUACUAAGAGUAGGCCAUGAGUUCUAUCAAGUGUCAAGCAUACUGCAAAAUUAAUUUUGAACUAAAAAUGCAUUUCGUGUUCUCCUUGUUCUUGUGCAAUACUAUACUUCAGUCAGAUAUCUUAAGAACGGCGGCACUGGAGAUCGCCUCUGUGUGGUUGGAUAUCGGCUCUGGCUGCUUGGGUGGUUGAGUCGUCGACCCGUUGGGUGCACGGCCUCAGGGCCAGUGUGCUGUGCUGCUGAUGUUUGUAAGCCAGAGUGGCGGCUUAGGGUCAUGUGGUAGGGUGUCGACUAGGGUCGCUUGGGCAGCAGAGUCGGCGGCCUAUUGGGGUGCAGCCUCGGGACCGGCGUGUUUGUAUGGCUCGUUUUAUCAGUUUUCAGCCAGUUUGUAUGGCAGGAGUAUAUGAUAAGGUAGAGCUCCUUGGUUGCUCGAAAAAGAAAAAAACUCUCUUUUCACUUGCUAAUUUCAAUAUGAAGAGCAACGCAUGAUAAUGAGUAAUGAUGGUACCUUCAACACCACAGUUCCAGCUAAAGUUAUCAUUGCAUCCAUCACGUCCACCUUCUCCAUUAGCAUCGUUGUGCUAUAUAAUUUUGGUCAAACAGAAAGCAUAUUAACAUAGAUACCACUACCUGUAUAGGACCUUACUUUAUAGUGUUUUUGGUAUACUCGAGUUACCUUUAAGUUGUAUGAUACAAGGUCACAUAAGGUGAACCCAUCAUGUGCGAUUAUAAAGUUCACACCGUGAUGAGGCUUCCGCUGGUUCACCUGCCAAUCAAUAUCACAUCAGAACUUGACUUUGCACGUGGUCCUGUUUUGAACUAUGUAAUCCUAAAUCUUCCACAUAAAAAUAAGUCUCGAAGCUUAUUCACAGAAGCUCCUAGCAGGCUAGCACCUCCAUACAUAGAGUGGUUUAAAUCUCAAAAUGGCAUCUCAUCCAAUAUUCAGAGUACAGCCAAUACCGUUAAGCAUUUGGGUGGAUCUUAGAGAAAUAAAUCAGAAUGAGCAUUGAAAACAAUGCAAAUAGAAUUGCAUACAAAAUAAAUAUGGAGGUUGGAUAUGUUAAUAGCGUAAGCUGCGCCCUGAUGACACUACGGAAAUAGCAAGUGUAUAGUUUCAACCUUCAACAACGCUGAAGACUUAAGCUCCGGAAUUUAUUUUUCUUAACACACACAUAAUUGUGUGUUCACUGUAUUUAGCUCAGGAAUUUGCAAAUACAGUAAAAAGUACACUUUUGAGUCACUUAUUUUGGGACGGAGGGAGUACUAUACAAAACAUCAAGAAACAGGGCUCCAAAAGAAAGUAUGUUUAGUGAUGAUAUAACCAAGCAAGGAAAAUCCUCAACUGAUGGACAAAAUGGCAGNNNNNNNNNNNNNNNNNNNNNNNNNNNNNNNNNNNNNNNNNNNNNNNNNNNNNNNNNNNNNNNNNNAAGAGCACAACUGAACAAAAUACCUGGUAGAGAUCAGCGGAUCCAGAUAUACGAGUUGCCAACACCCCCUUCAUACCAGGGUCACCCUGCAAAAAACCUCCAAAAUGAUUAGCAGGAUUCAAUCAUUCGUCAGUGCUUGCAGAAAUAAUUGGAAAUGUAACAAAGAAAGUAAUCAGGACAAACUCUUUUGCAGAAGUCACUCUAAAUUCAGAUCAAAUGUUACAAAAUCCACUGAUGCUAAAAAGGAAAUAUCUUGGUGUUGUAGGUCUUUGCUGAUUUAGUUAUGAUUAAUUCAAAGACAUUAUGCUAUGGAAAGCAUGAGAGAGUGGAAGCAACAGCAGUCCAUGGAAAAUUGGGUCGGUAAAUUCAAACAGGCAGAGAAGCCUCAUAAAUUCUUGAAAAGUCCAUAUUCUUCUGUGAAAAUCUUUCUCUCUGUUAGCUGUUCUGGCUUUUUUACUUUUCUGAGUUUUAUAUCGGUGGCUUGGCUUUUGUCAAUAUAAAUAUAAGAUAGAGGAUCCUUAAUCUUUCGCCACGGCAAAAUGGUCAUGAACAAAGCCAUCUAAUGAUCUGUCUUAAGAAUAUACAGAAAUGAUCAGGAUUUUGGAGAAUGUUAAAGAUCAGGAUCGGGAUAUAAAGAACAGCACCUUGAUGAACCUUCGAAGGUCGUCUCUAUACUUUCCAUUCCAUUCAGCCCACCUACAGGGGCAUUUGAUUAUAUCUUACAAAUAUUGGCAAUAUUCUCUAACAACAUUGAAACAUAUUCAGCUCUUCGUACAUUUGAAAAAGGAAACAUAGUCUAAUAAGGACUCCUAGACCAAUACUAAU